GUAGGUGAACCUGCGGAAGGAUCAUUAAUAUAGAAAUAGAGUCUGAGGGGUGUAUACCGCAAAGCUCUAAUUUUUCCGAAUAACAUGGACUGAGGGAUUACGGACCUGAAAUGAAGUGUCGGAAACUGAAAAGUGGCGCAAGAUUGGGAACGUAUGAACUUGGAAAGUGUUUGCACCGACUGUGUCUUAUGGGCACAGACAGUGUGAAAUUACUUGUUGAAACACUUUGAUUAUGCUUCGGCUGCACCUU
Molecule: unclassified non-coding RNA, 250 nt
Filed under: plant metagenome
Description: partial contains small subunit ribosomal RNA, internal transcribed spacer 1, and 5.8S ribosomal RNA
Source: RNAcentral